RNAcentral lists this ribosomal RNA (164 nucleotides) under Rorippa palustris (bog yellowcress). Its description in RNAcentral is "5.8S ribosomal RNA". It matches the Rfam family "5.8S ribosomal RNA". Rfam says of the family: 5.8S ribosomal RNA (5.8S rRNA) is a component of the large subunit of the eukaryotic ribosome. It is transcribed by RNA polymerase I as part of the 45S precursor that also contains 18S and 28S rRNA. Lineage: Eukaryota; Viridiplantae; Streptophyta; Magnoliopsida; Brassicales; Brassicaceae. The record is from RNAcentral. RNAcentral also lists the same sequence under 9 other names.
AAAACGACUCUCGGCAACGGAUAUCUCGGCUCUCGCAUCGAUGAAGAACGUAGCGAAAUGCGAUACUUGGUGUGAAUUGCAGAAUCCCGUGAACCAUCGAGUCUUUGAACGCAAGUUGCGCCCUAAGCCUUCUGGCCGAGGGCACGUCUGCCUGGGUGUCACAA